RNAcentral lists this long non-coding RNA (2421 nucleotides) under Onthophagus taurus. RNAcentral describes it as "uncharacterized LOC111421684, transcript variant X2". Lineage: Eukaryota; Metazoa; Arthropoda; Insecta; Coleoptera; Scarabaeidae. The record is from RNAcentral.
UUUUCGAAAGCACAGUUGCUGUUUAUGUUGUGAUGAUGAUGAGAAGGGCAGCAGCAACGGUGGCGGCGACACCAAACGAAAUAAUUUAUGUAGAGGAUUCACCUCCACCACCACCGCUGAUACCGAUAGCAUCGAACGAAAUCAUGUACAUGAAUACCGAUAGUGAAGAGGAGGAGGAAGAGGAGGAGGAGGAGGAGGAGGAGGAGGAUGAUGAUGAGGAGGAUGAGGAUGAGGGGAAUGGAAGCGAAAGCACGCUAUACUACCCUCAAGGACAAGAUUGGAGAGAUAGUCCUGUAUCUCCCUCAGAACAACCUCCUCCCCCAGUUUCACCCUUCAUCGAAGUAUUUGAUAUCGAUUUUUAGAUGCUAUCAAUGAAAUUUCGGCGCUAGUGAAAAAAGCUAGUUUCGGCGGUGUUGGUGGUGUGGUAAAAAUGACUUCUGAAAGUAGUUCCAUCUCAGAUGUAUCCGCUAUAGAGCUUCUACCCAUAGCGAGAGAUCAAGAUUUUCCAAAUCAAGUAUUUGACCACUAUAGCAGCAAAGAAUCAAUUAAUGAAAUAAAUCUCAUUCAGCACAACUUAAAAGCUCUCAUACGGUCACGUAAAGAACAAAGAUUUAUAGAUUAUUUUCUAUCAAACGAAGCGGAUGUUAGAGAUAAUUUUGAUAGUGAUGGUUGUUUUCGUUUGGCUUGUGAUGGAAAUUUGACAGAAAUCAUAAUAUUUUUGGUACUAAAAGGAAUCAAACCAAUCCUUGAAAAUAAUAAUCCAUUGUACAUCGCAUCCGAAAACGGAAAUUUAAACUCCGAUAUACUCCGAUGCAUUACGCCGCAAAAUACGCGAAUCUAGAGACGAUUAUUACUCUAUUGAAACGAGGUGCUCGAUUGGAUAUUAAAAAUGAGGUUGAAGUUAUGCCUAUCGAUAAUAUCUACACAGAGGAUUUAGAAGAACAUUUAGAUAGCUGUAUAAAAAGGCGAUCAUUCCUGAAAAAGGAAUGAUCGGAAGAAUCGAAGGUUUUAACAUUCGAUUAUACAACGUUGUUUUCUGUUAAAUCGUCAGAAACAGAAGUAAUCCUGCGUAUAGGUAAAAAUCCCAAACUGCAUCAUUUAUUACAUCACCCGCUUAUUUCGACGAUAUUCUAUCUUAAGUGUUUUAAAAUGGAACGGUUAUUUAGGAUUAAUUGUGUAUUUCAUUCGUUGUUUGUGGCCUAUUUAAUCGGUCAUAUUUGUACUGAAAGAUAUACCGAUAAUAAUUAUGGUUUUAUCUAUCUAUUAAGCAUUACUUAUGUUAUAUUCCUCAUAAAAGAAUUUCUACAAAUGUACUUACAUACUUACGAUUACAUAAUGGACCCUGAAAAUUAUUUAGAUUUUUUUAUAUUGUUUUCAACAGGUUAUUAUAAUGAAAUAUUGGCCGCAGCUAUUUUCUCGUCUUCACUUAAAAUGAUGUUUUUAAUUGCUCGAAUUCUGCAUUUUUCCACUUACGUUUCCAUUUUUAAAACGGUUUCGUGGAAUUUUUUUAAAUUUGUAUUAUGGGCUUCAAUUUUACUUGUGGCCUUCACUUUUGCAUUUUACAUUAUUUAUCGUAAAUCAUACGAAAAUAGUACUGAACAUAAAAACGAAACAUUUUUUGAUAAUCCAAUUUCAACAUAUAUUAAAGUGAUCGCGAUGUUUUCCGGCGAACUUGAUACUGGAUCGUUAUUACAAGACGGAAAUUUAAGCUCAGUUUUAGACAUAAUAAUUUUCGUAUUUUUUAUUUUCUUCGUAACAAUAACACUUUCUAACGUAAUCAACGGUUUGUUAGCGAUAUUCAGACGAUAAAAGCAAAAGCUGAAAUCUUAAAUGUGAUAGAGCGAAUCAAUCUCGUAGCAAAACUGGAAAUGGUGCUACGUGAUGAUAAUGUUUUAUCAAAAUGUUUAAGAAUUUUCGUUCGUGAUACCAUGUCAAUUCAUGAUUGUUCCACAUGUAUUCGGUUAAAUCGAAAGAUCUCUAUGUUUUCCGAAAAUCGCAUAUCGAUCUUUUCUUAUACCAACGGAACGCAUCAUCAUAUAUCAAUGAAACUUUCAGCUUCAACAUGUCGAAUUGUGAACGAAUGUGGACAUUAUAGUCCACCUCAAAUAUCUUUCAAUAGAAACAUUAUUAGAAGUACUGAAAAUAUUAUUUCAAUACGUUCGAGGAAAUAAAUUAUUUCUAAGACAUAGAUAUUGGACAAUGAAGAAUUCGAAAAUUUUUUAUAUUUGUUAAUAUCGUAAUUAUUAAUUUUAUUGUAUGAAACAGAAAUGAAAUUAUUGUGUUCUGUUUGUUUAAUAUCGCGGGUAUAAUCUUGUUCCGUAGUUAUAUUUCGAAUGGAAUUGUUUUUGUAAUUUUAAAGUUUAACUAGUUUCAUUUUAGCUGCUUUUAUAUUUUGCUUAAUGUACUUUUAUUUUAACUCUG